GCCCCGGUGGUGAAAUUGGUAGACACAUCGGACUUAAAAUCCGCCGCCUAUUAAAACGGCGUGCCGGUUCGAUCCCGGCCCGGGGCACCA
This 90-nucleotide transfer RNA is filed under the name Comamonas aquatica. RNAcentral's name for it is "tRNA-Leu". It matches the Rfam family "tRNA". From Rfam's summary of the family: Transfer RNA (tRNA) molecules are approximately 80 nucleotides in length. Lineage: Bacteria; Pseudomonadati; Pseudomonadota; Betaproteobacteria; Burkholderiales; Comamonadaceae. The record is from RNAcentral.